This is a long non-coding RNA of Brassica rapa (field mustard), 4361 nucleotides long. RefSeq lists it as uncharacterized. The record is from RefSeq and is a predicted model, not a curated record. Lineage: Eukaryota; Viridiplantae; Streptophyta; Magnoliopsida; Brassicales; Brassicaceae.
UGGUAGAAGUUAUUUUUUGUGAUUUUAAAUGUUUCGGGUUCUAUCGGAUAUCCAUUUAGGUCCGGGUUCGGUUCGGAUAAUACCCAUAACCUAAAAUACCAAAAAACAAGAUCCAUUAGGUAUUUAUGUCGGGUUCGGAUUCAUUUUUAUCGGAUCGGGUUCGGUUCAGAUUUUCGGGUUCGGUUUAUUUGCCCAGCCCUAGCAAAAACUAGGUUCCCUAUAUUUUAGAGAAUCUAUUAUUUCAAAAUAUUGAUUGGAUGCAAAAUAGUUUUUGGAAAAACAAAAACCAAAAACUAAUCCAAAAACCACAAACAAUCAACCUCUGAUAGUGUUGCUUGUUACCAUAAUUUUUUAAAAAACUUUUUUGAAAGAAAACCUCGAUGUUUUUUUUUUUACUGAAGAAAACCGCAAUCUAUCUAUCUAUAAUAAUAAAGGAGAGUUUUCUCCCACCUCCUGCAGCCACGUCCUUUUUUAGGGAUGGGCAUAUGUCGCCACGUGUCGGCGCUUAAUUGGUUACGUUUUUUUUGUUUUUUCCCCUUAUUCGGUAUCUCUAUUUCACUGGUCUCCUCUCUCCUCUCUGCCAUGCCGGAUCUCUCUCUCUCUCUCUCUCUCUCUCUCUCUCGAUCUAUCCCGUGCCUCGCUCUAGAGAAGGCGAGAGACACCACCGGUAUCCUCUCUCCUCUCUGCCAUGCCGGAUCUCUCUCUCUCACAUGCCUCGCUCUAGAGAAGGCGAGAGCCACCACCGGUCUCCUCUCUCCUCUCUGCCAUGCCGGAUCUCUCUCUCUCUUUCCCGUGCCUGGCUCUGUCACGAAAGUUGGAGGAGGCAGAGAAGCUUGAUGGAGGAGGACGGAGAAUUCACGAGGUGGAGGAAGCGAGGUGGAGGAAGCUGGACGAACAGACAGCAGAAGAGGCAGGAUGAAAAGGCGGAGGAGGAAGCAUGACGCUCAAGUUUGCCAGCGGUGGAGAGAUCAACAAGAAGAUGGCGGCCUCUAGAUUAGGUUUAGUGCUGUAUUUUUUUUUUUUUUAAUUUUGUUUAAUGGUAUAAACCGGUUCAAAUAUUUUGUAAACCUGUUUUAAUAUAUACAUUCUAUGUUUAUCUAUAUUCUACAGUGAUGAGAGGACGAGAUCUUUUUGUAGAAGCAGUUUUGAGUGAUGAGGUCUGACACGGAGGCCAAGCCGUGGACGUUAAUGGCAGCGUAGAAGCUGGAGAGAGCUUCAGAGUUCAGACACAGAUGUGGGAGCUGUUCGGGACGCAAUGUCGAUGGCUGUCUCCCACCACGCAGCUGCUUUUACAGACGGACUACAGGAUGUGAACUAUUGCCACCGAGUGAUGGUUGUUGGUUUCAAACUAUUGCCAGAAAGGUGAGUGAGAAGUUUCAUCUCAUUGGUUAAGUUUGCCAGCGGUGGAGAGAUCAACAAGAAGAUGGCGGCCUCUAGAUUAGGUUUAGUGUUGUAUUUUUUUUUUUUUAAUUUUGUUUAAUGGUAUAAACCGGUUCAAAUAUUUUGUAAACCUGUUUUAAUAUAUACAUUCUAUGUUUAUCUAUAUUCUACAGUGAUGAGAGGACGAGAUCUUUGUAGAAGCAGUUUUGAGUGAUGAGGUCUGACACGGAGGCCAAGCCGUGGACGUUAAUGGCAGCGUAGAAGCUGGAGAGAGCUUCAGAGUUCAGACACAGAUGUGGGAGCUGUUCGGGACGCAAUGUCGAUGGCUGUCUCCCACCACGCAGCUGCUUUUACAGACGGACUACAGGAUGUGAACUAUUGCCACCGAGUGAUGGUUGUUGGUUUCAAACUAUUGCCAGAAAGGUGAGUGAGAAGUUUCAUCUCAUUGGUUACAUAUAUUCUGCAAAUAUAUCUUUUUAUUCCUCCACUGCAAGGUAUAUCUUUUUAUUCAUCCAAGUAUGCAUCUUUAUGGAGUUUUGUAGCUUGUGAUUAAGUGUUUAGUGUAGCCAAUCUUAAAGCUUCAUUCGUGGAGGAGUUUAAGUCUGGAGUUUAAGUCUGAACGUUCUUUAAGAUUUGAAUAGUUUUCAUUUUUGAAGGAUUUGGUAAAGAUCCCAACUUUUUAACGUUGACAUGUGUGGAUUCACAGGUUUAUUCUUUGGACUGGACACCUGAGAUGAACCAGAUUGUCAGUGCAUCUCAACAAGACACGCUCAGUUAGAAGAGAAAAGUGAUGGAAAAGGGAAAGACACAACCAAAGGGCCAAUUGAUAAAGUGCUGAAAAUGCAAUCGUUUAGAUCUUGAAAAGAUACUGAAAAUGUGGGAGAUUGGCACAUUUCUCCAUUAGAGUUACUCCACAGUGGUCCUUUGCUUGAUUUUGAUCUUCUUCCAGGAUGUUGUUCUUCAAUGGCUGCCUUGAGUUUACCGUCUCUACCAAAUGUCCUUAUCUCAGACACUUGUGGAGAAGCUUAUGGUCUCUGUGAGUAACCAACUUGAACCGUAGAUCUACAUAGAUAGUUUGUUGUUUGUCUCAUAUUUUGUUCAUCAAUUUUCAGGUCAAAGCUGCAGAGCCUUUUCAACCAGAUAUCUUUCCAUACUUCACAGGCCAGGAAUCUAAAACAGAGACGCACAUAGCUACGAAAUGUUGUCUCUGAGACCCCGCAAAUGUUUGAGACAAACGACUGUUGUUAGUUUAUUUCACUAUGUAUCUCUACAGACUCAGCUUUGUAUUGACAAGCUUUUUCAUGAGAAGAACAAUAUGCAUUUACAAAACAGCUUCCUUAUUGUUUUCAUAUUGUUAGAAACAUUGAAUACGUUCCUGCAAUUCUUCUGUGAUUUUUUCUGCAUGGGUUUACAUUCCCCUGUCACUAGAAUGUUUGCAAGAUUUGGUUUAAUGUUUGUGCGUUUGUGUGUGUUUUGACGUGUUUUUGACUACGUCCCGCAUAUAUUAUAACUUAAUUGUAUGAGAAAUCUAUAGCAUAACAAUUUACAGGAAAAUAUAACAAACCUACAAACACAAUGUAUUUUACCUAUAAGUGGCUCCGCUCACCCAUGGGUCUUCUUCGUUAGGGCUGCCACAAGCCCUCAUAAGAACUUAGCGUAUUCCAAAAAAGGGUCACAAUAAAUAGACAAUAACACAAACUCUCAAUUAUGAGCUACUCAGCUGUUACCUCACCCACCCCUCUACAAACAACUAAGUGGGAGUUAUUAAGUCUACAAUAAUAUGUCAUCCAAACAAGAUCACUAUGAGAUACCACCACUGCUAUUAUUUUAUAAGAGAGCUAGAUUUUGAUCCGCUCUCUAAAAGCGCCGAUAACUUUUUACUAUUCUAAUAAAAUUCGAUUGAGUUUAUAACUUUUAUUUUAAAAUAAUAAUUUUCAAGUUUUUCUAUUUGAAUUUUAAAAAAAUUGUUCUAUUAUACUAUUUGAUUUUCUUAUCCGAAAGACCCGUGAAUCGAUAGAUCCAGUGACCUGUGUAUAAUCCGGUUCAAAUUUAGUAAAAAGAAUUUUAAUUAAAAAUUCUAGAAAACCAGUAAAAAUCUAAAAAUAUGUACGAUCUGAUAUCAUUAUUAUGUAAAAACAAUAUAAUAAAUAUUUUUUUCAAAAUAAAAUUAUUUAUAUAUUCAUAUUCGAUCGUUAAAUAAUACUAUGCAUGAAAAAAAUAUAUUUAAAUUUAAUGGAGUGUAUAGUUUGCAUAAAAAUUAGAAUUAUUAUAAUUCACAAAAUAUGGAAAGUAUUAAUUACCAUAAAUAUAGGGAAUGUUCAUAUUAUUAAUUUAAAUAAGUAAUAUAUGUGAGAUUUAUAUCUCCUACGAAUUAAAAAAUUACAUCGCUCUUUUACGAUAAAAAUAAUACUCCAAGCAGCGAAAGAGCAUCUUCUUUGGAGAUUUAUAUCUCCUACGAACUAAAUUGUCUAUGUCAUCUUUUUCCAAAAUUUUAAUUUCAUUAUGUCAUACAUGUGAACUUUCCCAUAAACAAAAACAAACACAUGCAUUUACAUGUUUUUUUGGAACAUCAAUUUUACUUUAUGUUUUAAGUUCAACUAUAUUUAUUUUGGUGCAGUUAUCAGCUAUUUAUUCUAUUUUUAUUGAAUCGAUUAGUGAAACCACUUAUACUAUUCAUUUUUGACAUAAACAACUUCAAAAUAAAGUAAUAAACUACUAUCUCUAACCACUAUCAAAUGAAUAGAUAAAAAAAUUGAAUUCAUUUGAAAAUUAGUAGAGAAUAAAACAUAUGAACCUACGCGCCGGAAUACCACUAGUGUUAUAGUAAAGAAGACUUAUUUGUAACAAACUUCCUCAAUUUUUUUUUCAAUAUGAAUUUCAGUAAAUGAAAUGAGAGGGUUUUAUAAGAUAUUACAAAAGUCAGCUUAACCGGAAAAGUUUUAUCAUUGCAAAAAAAAAAAAAAAAAAAGAAGAAAAAACAA